GGGCCCGCACAAGCGGAGGAACAUGUGGUUUAAUUCGAUGAUACGCGAGGAACCUUACCCGGGCUUGAAUUGCAUAUGAUUUUAGGUGAAAGCCUAUUUCUCUUUUGAGCAUAUGUGAAGGUGCUGCAUGGUUGUCGUCAGCUCGUGCCGUGAGGUGUCGGCUUAAGUGCCAUAACGAGCGCAACCCUCAUCUGUAGUUGCUAUCAGGUCAUGCUGAGGACUCUACAGAGACUGCCGUCGUAAGAUGUGAGGAAGGUGGGGAUGACGUCAAAUCAGCACGGCCCUUACGUCCGGGGCGACACACGUGUUACAAUGGGUGGUACAGCAGGUUGCUACACAGUGAUGUGAUGCCAAUCCCCAAAUCCACUCUCAGUUCGGAUUGGAGUCUGCAACUCGACUCCAUGAAGCUGGAUUCGCUAGUAAUCGCGCAUCAGCCAUGCG
This 441-nucleotide ribosomal RNA is filed under the name uncultured Bacteroidota bacterium. RNAcentral describes it as "bacterial SSU rRNA". It matches the Rfam family "Bacterial small subunit ribosomal RNA", at positions 917 to 1359 of the family's 1533-position model. The record is from RNAcentral. Lineage: Bacteria; Pseudomonadati; Bacteroidota.